GUCUCUUUGUUAAUAGAAAUAAAGAGUCGUACCUGCUCGGUGAAUNUAAUUUUAACAGCUGCGGUAUUUUAGCUGUACUAAGGUAGCAUAAUAAUUUGCCUUAUAAAUUGAGGCUAGAAUGAAUGGUUUGACGAAGGUUUAACUGUCUCUAUUUUAUUUAUUAGAAUUUAAUUUUUAAAGUGAAAAAGCUUAAAUAUUUUAAAGGGACGAGAAGACCCUACUGAGCUUAAAUUUAAAAGUUUAUUAUUUGUYAUAGACUUUUAAAAUUUUAAUUGGGGUGAUUAAGGAAUAAUUUNCAAAAGGUAACUUCCUUAAAUAUAAAGUUGUUAGAUUAAUUAACCAAUUUAUAUUGCUUAUAAAAAAGUUACCGUAGGGAUAACAGCGUAAUUUAUUUAAAGAGUUCAUAUUGAAAAAUAAGAUUGCGACCUCGAUGUUGGAUUAAGGUUACCUUAAGGUGCAGCGGCUUUAAUNNNNNAUCUGUUCGAUUUUAAACU
The sequence is a ribosomal RNA, 494 nucleotides long. It matches the Rfam family "Bacterial large subunit ribosomal RNA", at positions 1817 to 2595 of the family's 2925-position model.